UAGCUUGCUACCUGACCUAGCGGCGGACGGGUGAGUAAUGCUUAGGAAUCUGCCUAUUAGUGGGGGACAACAUUCCGAAAGGAAUGCUAAUACCGCAUACGCCCUACGGGGGAAAGCAGGGGAUCUUCGGACCUUGCGCUAAUAGAUGAGCCUAAGUCAGAUUAGCUAGUUGGUGGGGUAAAGGCCUACCAAGGCGACGAUCUGUAGCGGGUCUGAGAGGAUGAUCCGCCACACUGGGACUGAGACACGGCCCAGACUCCUACGGGAGGCAGCAGUGGGGAAUAUUGGACAAUGGGCGAAAGCCUGAUCCAGCCAUGCCGCGUGUGUGAAGAAGGCCUUUUGGUUGUAAAGCACUUUAAGCGAGGAGGAGGCUACUUAGAUUAAUACUCUAGGAUAGUGGACGUUACUCGCAGAAUAAGCACCGGCUAACUCUGUGCCAGCAGCCGCGGUAAUACAGAGGGUGCGAGCGUUAAUCGGAUUUACUGGGCGUAAAGCGUGCGUAGGCGGCUUUUUAAGUCGGAUGUGAAAUCCCUGAGCUUAACUUAGGAAUUGCAUUCGAUACUGGGAAGCUAGAGUAUGGGAGAGGAUGGUAGAAUUCCAGGUGUAGCGGUGAAAUGCGUAGAGAUCUGGAGGAAUACCGAUGGCGAAGGCAGCCAUCUGGCCUAAUACUGACGCUGAGGUACGAAAGCAUGGGGAGCAAACAGGAUUAGA
This 711-nucleotide ribosomal RNA is filed under the name Acinetobacter sp. JA03-2. Its description in RNAcentral is "bacterial SSU rRNA". It matches the Rfam family "Bacterial small subunit ribosomal RNA", at positions 76 to 782 of the family's 1533-position model. Lineage: Bacteria; Pseudomonadati; Pseudomonadota; Gammaproteobacteria; Moraxellales; Moraxellaceae. The record is from RNAcentral.